GAUGAACGCUGGCGGCGUGCUUAACACAUGCAAGUCGAACGGAAAGGCUCCUGCUUGCAGGGGUACUCGAGUGGCGAACGGGUGAGUAACACGGGGGUGAUCUGCCCUGCACAUCGGGAUAAGCCGGGGAAACUGGGUAUAAUACCGGAUAGGACGAUGGUUGGGAUGCCAUUGUGGAAAGUUUUUUCGGUGUGGGAUGAGCUCGCGGCCUAUCAGCUUGUUGGUGGGGUAGUGGCCUACCAAGGCGUCGACGGGUAGCCGGCCUGAGGGGGUGUACGGCCACAUUGGGACUGGGAUCCGCCCCAGACUCCUACGGGAGGCAGCAGUGGGGAAUAUUGCACAAUGGGCGCAAGCCGGAUGCAGCGACGCGGGGUGGGGGAUGCCGGCCUUCGGGUUGUAAACUCCUUUCGCUAGGGACGAACCGCAAGUGACGGUACCUGGAGAAGAAGCACCGGCUAACUACGUG
RNAcentral lists this ribosomal RNA (466 nucleotides) under uncultured bacterium. Its description in RNAcentral is "partial 16S ribosomal RNA". It matches the Rfam family "Bacterial small subunit ribosomal RNA", at positions 28 to 507 of the family's 1533-position model. The record is from RNAcentral.